UUUUUCUAUCUAAUAAAAGGUUCACAAACCAUCUGUUUUUCUCCCUAAUGCCUUGCCCAAAGGUUUUUCGUUCCUAUUUCAGGCUUGGGGCCAACUGACAUUCCCCUCUUUUUUUUUCCCAGCCUUGUAAACAAACCCUUCUCUCUUUUUAAUCUUCCAGUGCUGUUUCCUACCCAUCGUUAUGCAUAUUCAUUGCGAGUAAACAUUUUUAGUGUCUACACUUAAUCUCUUCCACUGGCAAUUACUGUUCUAUGCUGUUUUGUAAUGCAGAAGGGCCAACGCUUUCCCUUCUAAUAACAGCUGGGUCGCAGAUGGGGCCUGCAGUCAUUGUAGAAAAUAAAAAUUUACAAGAUGCCAGUGGAAUUUAUUUCAGUUUUAUGGAGUCACAGGAGGAACCUUUCUGUUAUCCGCCUUCAGUGAAAUCUGCAGGCACAAGAAACAGCCAGAAGAGGGACCACGGAUUAAUUAGCAUACUCCGAGCUGACAUCACCGACGAUGUUGCCGAGGACGCUUAUAAAGCCAAGCACUGCUCUGGGCAUUUCAGCUCUGCUGUUAACCAAAGGGAAGGGCAAUGGCUCCUGACAAACGGAAAGCAGUGUCGGUGGCAGAGGGUGGCAGGCUUUGGGAAGGAGCUGAGGAAAAUGGAGCAUUCCCGAGCGCCGUGCUCCCGGCGGCUGCUGCGGCCCACGGGAUAUUGAGGAGCCGAGACAGUGCUGUCAUUGUAUCCUGGGCUUUAUCUGACAUACGAGUGGGUGAUUGCUAAGAUAGAAGCUGCUCCUACCCUGCCGAAACAGGCAUUUACAGGGAGCGCAGCCGUCUGCAACCGGGCUCCAAAAACAGCCAGACUGUCGUAAACUCCCUGGAAGAGCUACAGAAGCAGUUUGACAGGUGGAUUAGCUCUCUCUUAGCUUUGGCUUUGUGUUCCCAUCUCAGGCAACGGUGCAAAUAUAGUUUAUGCUAUAAAAGAUAAGGGUCAUAUGCACACAGAGUAUCUGCAUUACGGCUGGCACACCAUUUGCAGUUGUUUGUCAUGGGCCGCUUGCCUGUUAAAAGUGACAUUGAAAAUAUGAAAGGGGUAGCACAUAAAAUCCGCAGCUAGUUUAGGCAGUUUGUCAAAGCUGGAAACAACCGAGCAGCAACGAGGCAGCAGCUUCCAGAGCAUCAUCCGAAGCAGCUGGAGUUACUUAUUGAGAAGAAAUCACCUGAUAGCAGGAUAUACACCAACAUUUUCUGAAAACACAAUGGGA
This 1247-nucleotide long non-coding RNA is filed under the name Anser brachyrhynchus (Pink-footed goose). RNAcentral's name for it is "lncRNA (ENSABRG00000020975.1)". The record is from RNAcentral. Lineage: Eukaryota; Metazoa; Chordata; Aves; Anseriformes; Anatidae.